Molecule: long non-coding RNA, 627 nt
Organism: Xiphophorus hellerii (green swordtail)
Lineage: Eukaryota; Metazoa; Chordata; Actinopteri; Cyprinodontiformes; Poeciliidae
Exons: 3
Source: RefSeq, a predicted model, not a curated record
GGUGUUUUUUUUCAUAAUGGAAAAGUAACCAAAACCUGAGAUAAUAUCUGGGAGUAAAAAUAAACACACAACUCUCUGUUAAGGUUGGUUUUCAGCCAAUCAAAACCAGUGACAUCACAGAGGUAUUUCCUGUUGCUGCUGGGAGGGACCUGCUUCCUUCUUUGUGGUUUCAGUUGGUGUUUUAAAGCGUGAAGUUGUCUCUGCAGCAGCAGCAGCAACAUUGAACCCAUCAGGAAAAACAUCAACUGCAUCUCCUUUCCAUUCUCCAUGGCGAUGAUAUAGUAUGAUGAAGACGAAGCGCGCUGUGAACCAGGAACCUGUUUUGCAGUCAAACAUGAAGAUUUCCGUCUAAAAUGGUGAUAAAGCAGAAACGUAAUGACGGCGACACAAACGAGACUGAAUGCAUGACUGCUUCUUUCCAAGAUGAAGUGAUUAACCAUCAAACAUGAUUCAAACAAAGGAUUUAUUUAAACCAGGAAGUGGAUUCCUCUGUAAUCUUGUUCCUGGAGCAAAUGACUGGAAGUACAGAGGAAAAUCUUUUCAAAUCUUCCCAAAAGUUUCCUACUUGAAACAAAUGUGAGAUCAAUGAGGAAAUACCCAAAUUAAAAAUAGUGAGGAAACUUCAAA